This 219-nucleotide ribosomal RNA is filed under the name uncultured bacterium. Its description in RNAcentral is "partial 16S ribosomal RNA". It matches the Rfam family "Bacterial small subunit ribosomal RNA", at positions 133 to 334 of the family's 1533-position model. The record is from RNAcentral.
AAAGUGGGGAAUAACUGCUCGAAAGAGCGGCUAAUACCGCAUAAGCUGUAUGUUGUUGGACAUACAGGAAAGCUCCAUCUUCGGGCAACCGAGGGAGGGGCGCUAAGAGAGGGGACUGCGGCGGAUUAGCUAGAUGGUGGGGUAAUGGCCUACCAUGGCGACGAUCCGUAGCUGGUCUGAGAGGACGACCAGCCACACUGGGACUGAGACACGGCCCAG